This 442-nucleotide ribosomal RNA is filed under the name uncultured bacterium. RNAcentral describes it as "partial 16S ribosomal RNA". It matches the Rfam family "Bacterial small subunit ribosomal RNA", at positions 338 to 795 of the family's 1533-position model. The record is from RNAcentral.
CCUACGGGUGGCAGCAGUGGGGAAUAUUGGGCAAUGGGCGCAAGCCUGACCCAGCAACGCCGCGUGAAGGAAGAAGGCUUUCGGGUUGUAAACUUCUUUUGACAGGGAAGAGUAGAAGACGGUACCCGUUGAAUAAGCCACGGCUAACUACGUGCCAGCAGCCGCGGUAAUACGGAGGAGGCAAGCGUUGUCCGGAUUUAUUGGGUGUAAAGGGCGUGUAGCUGGGUUGACAAGUCAGAUGUGAAAUCUUGCGGCUUAACCGCAGAACUGCAUUUGAAACUGGCAGUCUUGAGUACAGGAGAGGCAGGCGGAAUUCCUGGUGUAGCGGUGAAAUGCGUAGAUAUUAGGAAGAACCCCGGUGGCGAAGGCAGUUUACUAAACAGCGACUGACAGUGAGGCGCGAAAGCGUGGGGAGCAAACAGGAUUAGAUACCCCUGUAGUC